Molecule: ribosomal RNA, 270 nt
Filed under: uncultured Flavobacteriaceae bacterium
Lineage: Bacteria; Pseudomonadati; Bacteroidota; Flavobacteriia; Flavobacteriales; Flavobacteriaceae
Description: partial 23S ribosomal RNA
Rfam family: Bacterial large subunit ribosomal RNA
Source: RNAcentral
AAUAGGCUAAUUAAGAGCGUAAGGGGAAUGCCUUGGCUCUCAGAGGCGAUGAAGGACGUGAUAAGCUGCGAUAAGCUUUGGGGAGUGGCACAAACACUUUGAUCCGAAGAUUUCCGAAUGGGGCAACCCGGCAUAUUGAAGAUAUGUCACACUGUAAAGUGAGCAAACCUGGUGAACUGAAACAUCUAAGUAACCAGAGGAAUAGAAAACAAAAGUGAUUCCGCUAGUAGUGGCGAGCGAACGUGGAACAGCCCAAACCUAUGUUGUUAC